GUUCCCUACGGGGGGCAGCAGUAGGGAAUCUUCCACAAUGGGCGCAAGCCUGAUGGAGCAACACCGCGUGAGUGAAGAAGGGUUUCGGCUCGUAAAGCUCUGUUGUUGGAGAAGAACGUGCGUGAGAGUAACUGUUCAUGCAGUGACGGUAUCCAACCAGAAAGUCACGGCUAACUACGUGCCAGCAGCCGCGGUAAUACGUAGGCGGCCAGCGUUAUCCGGGUUUAUUGGGCGUAAA
This 238-nucleotide ribosomal RNA is filed under the name uncultured bacterium. RNAcentral describes it as "partial 16S ribosomal RNA". It matches the Rfam family "Bacterial small subunit ribosomal RNA", at positions 334 to 564 of the family's 1533-position model. The record is from RNAcentral.